GACGAACGCUGGCGGCGUGCCUAAUACAUGCAAGUCGAACGGAAAGGCCCUGCUCUUGCGGGGCGCACGAGUGGCGAACGGGUGAGUAACACGCGAGUAACCUGCCCUUGUCUUAGGGAUAACAUCAGGAAAAAGGGGCUCAUACCGGGUAGGAUCUCCUGAUGCACGGGGGGGGUUGGAAAGAUUCGGCGGUUGGGGAUGGACUCGCGGCUUAUGAGCUGGUUGGUGGAGUAGUGGCGUACCAAGGCUUUGACGGGUAGCCGGCCUGGGAGGGUGACCGGCCACCUUGCUCCUGCGGUACGGCCCAGUCUCCUACGGUAGGCAGCGGUGGGGAGUCUUGCGCAAUGGCCGGACGCCUGUUGCGACGGCGCCGCGUGCGUGAUGCCCUCCUUCGGGUUGUAAACCGCUUUCGCCUUUACCGAGGCGUGAGUGACGGUAAUGGGUAAGGAAGCACCGGCUAACUACGUG
This 468-nucleotide ribosomal RNA is filed under the name uncultured bacterium. RNAcentral describes it as "partial 16S ribosomal RNA". It matches the Rfam family "Bacterial small subunit ribosomal RNA", at positions 28 to 507 of the family's 1533-position model. The record is from RNAcentral.